UGGGGAAUAUUGCACAAUGGAGGAAACUCUGAUGCAGCGAUGCCGCGUGAGGGAAGAAGGUUUUCGGAUUGUAAACCUCUGUCUUUGGGGACGAUAAUGACGGUACCCAAGGAGGAAGCUCCGGCUAACUACGUGCCAGCAGCCGCGGUAAUACGUAGGGAGCAAGCGUUAUCCGGAAUUACUGGGUGUAAAGGGAGCGUAGGCGGGACUGCAAGUCAGAUGUGAAAAUUAUGGGCUCAACUCAUAACCUGCAUUUGAAACUGUAGUUCUUGAGUGAAGUAGAGGUAAGCGGAAUUCCUAGUGUAGCGGUGAAAUGCGUAGAUAUUAGGAGGAACAUCAGUGGCGAAGGCGGCUUACUGGGCUUUUACUGACGCUGAGGCUCGAAAGCGUGGGGAGCAAACA
RNAcentral lists this ribosomal RNA (402 nucleotides) under uncultured bacterium. RNAcentral's name for it is "bacterial SSU rRNA". It matches the Rfam family "Bacterial small subunit ribosomal RNA", at positions 355 to 774 of the family's 1533-position model. The record is from RNAcentral.